UACGUAGGUGGCAAGCGUUGUCCGGAUUUACUGGGCGUAAAGCGCGCGCAGGCGGCCAACUAAGUCAGACGUGAAAUCCCUCGGCUUAACCGGGGAACUGCAUCUGAUACUGGAUGGCUUGAGUUCGGGAGAGGGAUGCGGAAUUCCAGGUGUAGCGGUGAAAUGCGUAGAUAUCUGGAGGAACACCGGUGGCGAAGGCGGCAGCCUGGACCGACACUGACGCUGAGGAGCGAAAGCCAGGGGAGCAAACGGG
Molecule: ribosomal RNA, 253 nt
Filed under: uncultured bacterium
Lineage: Bacteria
Description: partial 16S ribosomal RNA
Rfam family: Bacterial small subunit ribosomal RNA
Source: RNAcentral